RNAcentral lists this ribosomal RNA (560 nucleotides) under Escherichia coli. RNAcentral describes it as "partial 23S ribosomal RNA". It matches the Rfam family "Bacterial large subunit ribosomal RNA", at positions 1 to 591 of the family's 2925-position model. The record is from RNAcentral. Lineage: Bacteria; Pseudomonadati; Pseudomonadota; Gammaproteobacteria; Enterobacterales; Enterobacteriaceae.
GGGUUGUGAGGUUAAGCGACUAAGCGUACACGGUGGAUGCCCUGGCAGUCAGAGGCGAUGAAGGACGUGCUAAUCUGCGAUAAGCGUCGGUAAGGUGAUAUGAACCGUUAUAACCGGCGAUUUCCGAAUGGGGAAACCCAGUGUGUUUCGACACACUAUCAUUAACUGAAUCCAUAGGUUAAUGAGGCGAACCGGGGGAACUGAAACAUCUAAGUACCCCGAGGAAAAGAAAUCAACCGAGAUUCCCCCAGUAGCGGCGAGCGAACGGGGAGGAGCCCAGAGCCUGAAUCAGUGUGUGUGUUAGUGGAAGCGUCUGGAAAGGCGCGCGAUACAGGGUGACAGCCCCGUACACAAAAAUGCACAUGCUGUGAGCUCAAUGAGUAGGGCGGGACACGUGGUAUCCUGUCUGAAUAUGGGGGGACCAUCCUCCAAGGCUAAAUACUCCUGACUGACCGAUAGUGAACCAGUACCGUGAGGGAAAGGCGAAAAGAACCCCGGCGAGGGGAGUGAAAAAGAACCUGAAACCGUGUACGUACAAGCAGUGGGAGCCUCUUUUAUGG